This 893-nucleotide long non-coding RNA is filed under the name Nicotiana tabacum (common tobacco). RNAcentral describes it as "long non-coding RNA (NTAB_LNC010071)". The record is from RNAcentral. Lineage: Eukaryota; Viridiplantae; Streptophyta; Magnoliopsida; Solanales; Solanaceae.
CCAAAAUUCACAAAACCUAAUAAAAACUUCAUUCUCACUUUGUGUGUUUCCCUUCCCUGCCGCCACCCCCCAUCCCCCUUUUCCAUUUCCUUCUUCAACAACGCCUUAUCUCUUCACAUGAACUGAGCAAACCAACGGAAUCACUGGCUAGAUAGCCCGGUGGCUUCUCUCUUCCCAGGUAUAUUUAUGUAUCUACAUCUUAAAAUUUCCGAAUCCUCAUACACCUAUUUGAUUUGAAAUUUUUGAUUUAUAUUCUAACAAUUUGAUAGAUGCUUUGCCGUAUUCUGAUAGGUAUUGAGUAAGACUUUGAAGAUUUUAAUGUAAUAUUGGGAGGAGCCACAGUUCGUUGAAAAGACAUUACAAAAAUGAGAUGAGAAUUCUUUCAAAAGUUUUUUAAAAAGUAUACAAGUUUAUUUUCUUAUCUUGUUGCUUUGCGUUUUCCCCUCUUAUUGUAUACUCAAAAUUCUUGUAAAAGAAUUAUCUGGACAUAGUUUUCUCUUUUGAACGCUAUAUUAGCAUUUUUACAAAUCAAUUUUCAUCUUUGUAUUAAUUCUUUUUUUUGGUUCGCUCAUUCUUUUGUGUUAAUUUUUUUUUUCUUAUGAAUUUACAGGGUGCAUUUCAAUCUAUUCAAUGCAGGAAGAUUAAGAAUUCAACCUUGAUGCAAAGAGUGAAAGUACUUCAUCCUUGACUGCAAAAGAUCAUCCGGUGGCGACAUGUGAAAUUCCCAGAUCAAAUAUUUAGAACUUAGUUUUCUUUUGAUGUGGAACCCUUCAGAAUUUUAUAGAUUAUAGUUAACGGUGCAUAAUUUGUACUAUACUCCUAUUAGUUUGACAAGAAUUGUGAUGAUCCAAAAUGUCAUUUUAAAAUUUAAUAAUUAAUUAUGUGUUCUAAGA